CCACAUAAUAGAAUUCCUUAAUCAAGGUUAAUACAAUAUCUAAACAAAUGUGGUUUUGGGAGUUUUUUGAAGAUUUGCAUUUCCUAUUAGUAAUGAAAAAGGUGACAGUUUUCUUUUCAAAUGGGUUAGAUGGUUAAGCAUGUGAAAGCUUUAAUUAUUUCAAAAAGGUUUCAUGACUAGAAAGACAUAUAAGACGAGUAUAUUUUUCCAUUAGGCUCAUAAAUGAAACAUAAGUUUGUCUAACGUAU
RNAcentral lists this long non-coding RNA (248 nucleotides) under Durio zibethinus. RNAcentral's name for it is "long non-coding RNA (DZIB_LNC001460)". Lineage: Eukaryota; Viridiplantae; Streptophyta; Magnoliopsida; Malvales; Malvaceae. The record is from RNAcentral.